This is an RNA transcript of Pyrus x bretschneideri (Chinese white pear), 545 nucleotides long. RefSeq lists it as uncharacterized. The record is from RefSeq and is a predicted model, not a curated record. The transcript is spliced from 2 exons. Lineage: Eukaryota; Viridiplantae; Streptophyta; Magnoliopsida; Rosales; Rosaceae.
UACAGAGCUCUCUUUCGAAAGGGUUCCCAAUCUGGAGGAAGUGUGUGUUGUGAUGAAGGCAAUUAAUGUGAUUUCUACUUUUGCUCGGUUAGAGAAAGAACUUCCUCAUGUCAAGACCAUGACAGUUACUAGAGAUCAUUUGCGUCGGGGUUACUAACUAUUCAACAAAGGCUCGGGGUUUGGACUGGUGUUUUGUUUAAUAUCCAAGAUAGCAGCUCUCUCCUAGAAGUUUUACCCCUGCUUCAGAAAUUCCAUUUGGCCUCGAAUCUUCACUGCAUCGACUAUUGUUGUAGGUGUCCGAUAUAAACUUGUACCGUUUUGCAUCAGAUUGUUACAGAAUAUUUACCCCUGCUUCAGAUCAUGGGGCGUUAUCAUUUAUAGUUGGUGUCGAAUUUACUUUCCGAAACCUAGAAAUUCAAACUCACAUGUAUAAUUUACUUGGGGAAGAAUUCAGAGGAUUUUGUAGAAUAUAUGGUGUAAAGUGAAAUUUAUUAGCAUUGUAGUUCUUCGUUUUUAUGUAAUGGAGGAAUUUCAAGUUGAUUUUU